This is a non-coding RNA of Angiostrongylus costaricensis, 73 nucleotides long. NCBI's taxonomy places the organism in Eukaryota, Metazoa, Nematoda, Chromadorea, Rhabditida, Metastrongylidae. The record is from Rfam.
GAUCUGAUGGUGUAGUGGUGAUCACAUCUGUCUCACACACAGAAAUUCCGCGGUUCGAGUCCGCCCGAGCUCU